This 509-nucleotide ribosomal RNA is filed under the name uncultured bacterium. Its description in RNAcentral is "bacterial SSU rRNA". It matches the Rfam family "Bacterial small subunit ribosomal RNA", at positions 30 to 526 of the family's 1533-position model. The record is from RNAcentral.
AUUGAACGCUGGCGGCAGGCUUAACACAUGCAAGUCGAGCGGUAGCACAGGGGAGCUUGCUCCCUGGGUGACGAGCGGCGGACGGGUGAGUAAUGUCUGGGAAACUGCCUGAUGGAGGGGGAUAACUACUGGAAACGGUAGCUAAUACCGCAUAACGUCGCAAGACCAAAGAGGGGGACCUUCGGGCCUCUUGCCAUCAGAUGUGCCCAGAUGGGAUUAGCUAGUAGGUGGGGUAAUGGCUCACCUAGGCGACGAUCCCUAGCUGGUCUGAGAGGAUGACCAGCCACACCGGAACUGAGACACGGUCCAGACUCCUACGGGAGGCAGCAGUGGGGAAUAUUGCAAAAUGGGCGCAAGCCUGAUGCAGCCAUGCCGCGUGUGUGAAGAAGGCCUUCGGGUUGUAAAGCACUUUCAGCGAGGAGGAAGGGUGGUGUCUUAAUACGGCAUCACAUUGACGUUACUCGCAGAAGAAGCACCGGCUAACUCCGUGCCAGCCGCCGCCGUAACAC